CAGGGGACGCAAUGCAGGCAGACGGCUUCGCACCUGUGAUGCCACUGGACGACGAGGAACACAGCUUGCAGUGCGCGGGACAUGCAGGCUUCGUCUCGAAUGCUGCAAGUUGGGCCCUAGCCUCUUGCGCCUAGAGUGGCCGCCAUCCGCCAGCUGUGCCGACGUCUCGCACCGCACAAACGGCCCCAUCUCACGCCAAAGGAGGAGGGGCACGGUUCCUCGUGGCUACCGCGUGCUGUUGCGGUGUGGAGGCGGCUUCCGUGACUGUCAGCAGAACACUCCCUCACAAAAUGCAACGAACAGGCAGUCAGCUGGCAUAUCUGCGAUGAGCUUGCAAAAAGCUGCGAGGGAGCAACCGAGAGGAAGACUCACCCGCCGGCUGCCGCUCCGGAGUAACCGGAACCGGACGUUCCGUACGGCGAAGAGGCCCCGUACGC
Long non-coding RNA from Dermacentor albipictus, 437 nucleotides. RefSeq lists it as uncharacterized. Lineage: Eukaryota; Metazoa; Arthropoda; Arachnida; Ixodida; Ixodidae. The record is from RefSeq and is a predicted model, not a curated record.